This 247-nucleotide ribosomal RNA is filed under the name uncultured bacterium. RNAcentral's name for it is "partial 16S ribosomal RNA". It matches the Rfam family "Bacterial small subunit ribosomal RNA", at positions 523 to 769 of the family's 1533-position model. The record is from RNAcentral.
AUACGUAGGGGCCAAGCGUUGUCCGGAGUUACUGGGCGUAAAGCGUGCGCAGGCGGCUCGUUGCGCCCGACGUGAAAGCCCCCGGCUCAACCGGGGAGGGUCGUCGGGGACGGGCGAGCUUGAGGGUGUCAGGGGCUGGUGGAACUCCCGGUGUAGUGGUGAAAUGCGUAGAGAUCGGGAAGAACACCCGUGGCGAAGGCGGCCAGCUGGGACACACCUGACGCUGAGGCACGAAGGCGUGGGGAGC